Molecule: ribosomal RNA, 253 nt
Filed under: uncultured bacterium
Lineage: Bacteria
Description: partial 16S ribosomal RNA
Rfam family: Bacterial small subunit ribosomal RNA
Source: RNAcentral
UACGUAGGGGGCAAGCGUUGUCCGGAAUCAUUGGGCGUAAAGAGCGUGUAGGCGGCCAGAUAAGUCCGCUGUGAAAACUCGAGGCUCAACUUCGAGCUGUCGGCGGAAACUAUCUGGCUAGAGUCCGGAAGAGGAGAGUGGAAUUCCUGGUGUAGCGGUGAAAUGCGCAGAUAUCAGGAAGAACACCCGUGGCGAAGGCUGCUCUCUGGGACGGUACUGACGCUGAGACGCGAAAGCGUGGGGAGCGAACAGG